GGGGCUAUAGCUUAGCUGGUUGAGCGUUUCGUUCGCAACGAAGAGGUCACCGGUUCGACUCCGGUUAGCUCCACCA
This 76-nucleotide transfer RNA is filed under the name Bacteroidota bacterium. RNAcentral describes it as "tRNA-Ala". It matches the Rfam family "tRNA". Rfam says of the family: Transfer RNA (tRNA) molecules are approximately 80 nucleotides in length. Their secondary structure includes four short double-helical elements and three loops (D, anti-codon, and T loops). Further hydrogen bonds mediate the characteristic L-shaped molecular structure. tRNAs have two regions of fundamental functional importance: the anti-codon, which is responsible for specific mRNA codon recognition, and the 3' end, to which the tRNAs corresponding amino acid is attached (by aminoacyl-tRNA synthetases). tRNAs cope with the degeneracy of the genetic code in two manners: having more than one tRNA (with a specific anti-codon) for a particular amino acid; and 'wobble' base-pairing, i.e. permitting non-standard base-pairing at the 3rd anti-codon position. The record is from RNAcentral. Lineage: Bacteria; Pseudomonadati; Bacteroidota.